Long non-coding RNA from Callorhinus ursinus (northern fur seal), 316 nucleotides. RefSeq lists it as uncharacterized. The record is from RefSeq and is a predicted model, not a curated record. Lineage: Eukaryota; Metazoa; Chordata; Mammalia; Carnivora; Otariidae.
CCUAAAGCGACUGCCCAGCAUGGAUCAUCAGGUCAGAAUCCUUACAGGGAGGCCCCUAUUUUUCUCCCUCAUUUCAAAUAAAGAUACGGAAGACCAGAAGGGACAUCUGAUUUAAUAUACAGUUGAUUCAUUGACAUCGAACUCACGACCCACAGCUCUAUGAGUCAUGCCUGAGCGAAGCUUAUCUAAGCCACAUGUCUUCUCUGUAAGGGACAUUCCAGCCUCCUGGCCCUUGGGAACGUACACAGCACCUCAGCACCACACUUUGGGGCCAUUUUAAAUAGCAAAUUUGCCAACGACAAUCACAGAAUGUGAA